UACGGGGGGGGCAAGCGUUGUUCGGAAUUACUGGGCGUAAAGGGCUCGUAGGUGGCCAACUAAGUCGGACGUGAAAUCCCUCAGCUUAACUGGGGAACUGCGUCCGAUACUGGAUGGCUUGAGUUUGGGAGAGGGAUGCGGAAUUCCAGGUGUAGCGGUGAAAUGCGUAGAUAUCAGGAGGAACACCAAUGGCGAAGGCAGCACUCUGGGACGUGACUGACGCUGAGACGCGAAAGCGUGGGGAGCAAACAGG
RNAcentral lists this ribosomal RNA (253 nucleotides) under uncultured bacterium. RNAcentral's name for it is "partial 16S ribosomal RNA". It matches the Rfam family "Bacterial small subunit ribosomal RNA", at positions 524 to 776 of the family's 1533-position model. The record is from RNAcentral.